AUUCCAAGAUGAAGGCAUCUUAGUAAUAGUUCUUUAAAUCUUUCCCACGUCUCAUACAAGGACUCAUCAUCCAUCUGCUGUAAGGAAGUGAUCUCAUUCCGCAACU
Molecule: small nucleolar RNA, 106 nt
Organism: Gossypium raimondii (Peruvian cotton)
Lineage: Eukaryota; Viridiplantae; Streptophyta; Magnoliopsida; Malvales; Malvaceae
Rfam family: Plant small nucleolar RNA R71
About the family: R71 is a member of the C/D box family of snoRNAs containing the C (UGAUGA) and D (CUGA) box motifs.
Source: Rfam